CCUACGGGUGGCAGCAGUGAGGAAUAUUGGUCAAUGGGCGCGAGCCUGAACCAGCCAAGUCGCGUGAGGGAAGACGGUCCUAUGGAUUGUAAACCUCUUUUGUCGGGGAGCAAAAGACGCCACGCGUGGCGUUCAGAGAGUCCCCGAAGAAAAAGCAUCGGCUAACUCCGUGCCAGCAGCCGCGGUAAUACGGGGGAUGCGAGCGUUAUCCGGAUUUAUUGGGUUUAAAGGGUGCGCAGGCGGAAGAUCAAGUCAGCGGUAAAAUUGAGGGGCUCAACCUCUUCGAGCCGUUGAAACUGGUUGUCUUGAGUGCACGAGAGGUAUGCGGAAUGCGUGGUGUAGCGGUGAAAUGCAUAGAUAUCACGCAGAACUCCGAUUGCGAAGGCAGCAUACCGGCGCUCAACUGACGCUCAUGCACGAAAGUGUGGGUAUCGAACAGGAUUAGAUACCCCUGUAGUC
This 459-nucleotide ribosomal RNA is filed under the name uncultured bacterium. RNAcentral's name for it is "partial 16S ribosomal RNA". It matches the Rfam family "Bacterial small subunit ribosomal RNA", at positions 338 to 795 of the family's 1533-position model. The record is from RNAcentral.